AAUAUUGCACAAUGGGGGAAACCCUGAUGCAGCGACGCCGCGUGAGUGAAUAAGUAUNNNGGUAUNUAAAGCUCUAUCAGCAGNGAANAAAAUGACGGUACCUGACUAAGAAGCCCCGGCUAACCACGCGCCAGCAGCCGCGGUAAUACGUAGGGGGCAAGCCUUAUCCGGAUUUACUGGGUAUAAAGGGUGCGUAGGUGGUUUGGUAAGUCAGAUGUGAAAGCCCGGGGCUCAACCCCGGGACUGCAAUUGAAACUAUCAGACUAGAGUGCAGGAGAGGUAAGUGGAAUUCCUAGUGUAGCGGUGAAAUGCGUAAAUAUUAGGAGGAACACCAGUGGCGAAGGCGGCUUACUGGACUGUAACUGACACUGAGGCUCGAAAGCGUGGGGAGCAAACA
This 397-nucleotide ribosomal RNA is filed under the name uncultured bacterium. RNAcentral's name for it is "partial 16S ribosomal RNA". It matches the Rfam family "Bacterial small subunit ribosomal RNA", at positions 360 to 774 of the family's 1533-position model. The record is from RNAcentral.